GGGGGCGACAGGAUUCGACGGGAUGACCGAAACCAAUGGCUGCAUACCGAGGUAUGGGGACUCGUGAAACCACCAGAAAACAAUAGUCGCAAACGACUAUAAUUACGCUCUGGCUGCUUAAGUUCAGUCAGCGUCCUUUGAGCCUCAUCCUGCAGGGCUAAAGGGACGACAGAUAGCAGGAUUGCCUUUCAAACUUUGCCUGAAGUCAUGAAAGGCGAGAUUUAAUCAGGCUGGCACCUCAAAUACCCUGUCUCUGGGGGAUUUGGGUGUGAGAUUUAAAACAGAGGAUAUGUAUGUAGCAUGCCAUGGAUAGGCACUCCCGGAAGUGGGUUCAAUUCCCACCGCCUCCACCA
This 353-nucleotide transfer-messenger RNA is filed under the name bacterium. Its description in RNAcentral is "JACRPW01 sp016223005 Standard tmRNA". It matches the Rfam family "transfer-messenger RNA". From Rfam's summary of the family: Bacterial tmRNA, also known as 10Sa RNA or SsrA, is named for its dual tRNA and mRNA-like properties. Its role is to liberate the mRNA from a stalled ribosome. The record is from RNAcentral. RNAcentral also lists the same sequence under 1 other name.